CAAAAGAGAAGAUGCUCAGAAUAAGGGUCACAAACACAAUUCUCCCUUAUUUAAAGAACUGUUUUAUGGAAUAAGUGUUAGACUUCUUGGUGGUUUUGAGUAUCAUUGGAUCAAUGGGUCCAAGUGAGAGAAGCUAUUUUUUGUCCCAGAGUGCCCCAGAGUGAUUUUUGCGGUGAUGGGUGUGAGGUCUCAGUUCCUGGAGGAAGUGAGCAGAAUUAACAUUUAAAUACUUGUUGAACUUGUAAUUUCCAUCCCUGAGGUCAGACAGGCAGCUGUUCAAUCCCACUGUCAACACACACCAAUUGACUCCACUGUGACCAGUUAGGUAACCUGACUCCCAGCUUUCUCACAUGUAAACGGCAGUAAUAAACAUGCCUGUUUUAUAGGGUUAUAAAAAAUUACAUGAGGUAUUGGGUGAAAAAAAUGUUUAGCACGGGAUCUGGUAUACAGGACGUACUCUCUAUAUUUUGAUGUGUUUGUUUAUUAUUAGCAUGUGCUGAAGUCAUAGUUAUACAACUUUGGAACUGGGGGAAGCCUUAUAGGUCAUUCAGGCCAAACGGAUUACUUGAUGGAUGGGGAAGGUGAAGCAAGGAGAAGUGGCUUGCCCAAUAUCACACAGUUUACCAUUCGAUCAAAUCUGGAGCCCAGCAGCUCUACCUCACGGGGAUCCAGUUGCCAGGCUGAGUCCGCAGCAUUUCUUAUCAAAAUAGAAGACGUGGCUUUAUGAAGAGGAUGAGCAGAGGACUAGGAGAAGCCAGGCUGACGUCCUGGCUCUGCCUCGUAAAGCUGCCCUUGAUUGAAAGGAUCUCAAACCCACUUGAAGCAGUUGCUCAAAUUUUGGCUUCAUGACAUGCCAACUGUACCAAUGUUAGGUAAGGAGUGGGAAAACUCUGGGCUGGCUUCCAGGGUACCUACUCAGCUGUCCUAUAUCACCAACAAAUGUACUGUGUAAGACAACCUUGGCCAAGCUUCCUCUUUCAACCAAGCCUCAGUUUCCCUCUCUGAAAAAUGAGCCAUAUUUGACCCGUUGACGCCUGGCCCACACCAGUGAGAAUGUGACUGAAAAGUGCUUUCAACAGUUGAGAGAGUUUUACCCCCCCUAGGAGGGUAUAUGUAUUACUCUUAUUUGACCACUCUGGAUAGAGGAAGUAACAUCACGUGGCCCUCCAACUGCUCUCCCUCCUAAAAUAUACUUGUUUAGAAAGACAAACAAAAUAGGAAUUGUCCAAGAAAGACAAUGGAAAGAGUAUUUAUGCCCAUUAUCUGUAGUGGUUAAUAUUAUAUCAACUUGGCGGAUGUUUUUGGAUGAGUUUUACAUUUAAUCAGUGAACUUUGAGUAAGCAGGUGAGACCGUGAAUAGCACAAAAAGACCAGUCUCCUGGAGCAAGAGAGAAUUCUGUCAAACUACCUUCAGAGUUCGUCUGUACCAUCAGCUCUGCUGGAUCCUGAAACUGCUUGUCGACAGACAGAAUUGGGACUCACCAGGCUCCAUAACCGUAGCCAUCUGGGGAGCCACUGAUGCAAGCUCACGUUUCCACACACCCAGAUUUCCUGAGGGAGCACCUUGGAGAUGCUCAGUGAGGCAUGUGAGAGAGAAUGGAUUACAGGCCAAAGAGUUACCUCCAUGAUGCCUGGCAUGAAGAAUAGUACAGGGGUUUACACUUAAAUGGAGGCCGAGCUCCAGCCUCAAGGCUCUAGUCAAGAAGGCACCCUCGAUGGAGUCGGUGGUAUCAGCAAACUCUGGCAGGAUCUGCCUCUGCUCCUCCAAGAAGGGCCCCUGGAAUCACCUCCGGAGAGCUCUUCGGUGAGACAGAUCGUCACCACCCUGCCCCAUGCUGCAACCAGGAAGCAUUCAGAAGGGCAGCAGCUACAGGGGCAGCAGUGCCAUUUGCUUCCUGCCUUUCUGCCCAGCCCUCUGUUGUCCGCCCCGGGUUGGUAAUGACAAGUGUCUCCCUCCCUCUCCAUGGGCUUAUCCGUCAUUUAUCUUCUCUUGGGAAGUCAGAGUCACGCUGGCUGGAGAUGAGUGGAAGCUCCCCAAGAGUGGUCUUGUUUAUUACCGGCCUCUGGGCCCCAGACACCCAGAGGCACAGCAGCCAGAGGUGGCCCAAAGUGGGGUUAGGAAAAGGCACGACAAUGGAAAACCUCCUCACCACUGCUUUGCCUGUGGUCAUCAUUAGCAGGCACGUGGGGCUAAUAACGAAGUCUUCCUCCAUGCAGUGAUGGUGGCCUCAUGACACCAGCAUCCUUGCUGCAAAGCCAGUGAACAGGCACCCUCAGGUCCGAGAUGGUCCCCGCUGUGAGGAGGGUACUGAAGAGUUUGCAAAGGGCUUUCCCAUGCGCUGCCUCAUUUGAGCUCCCUCCCACCAGUGUUGGAAUGAAUACCUUAAGGAGCUGAGGACCUGACGGGAGAAAAUGUUAAUAAUGAAUACUUUCCUAUCUUGCUUACCAAACCUCUCUCACAAAAUGUGUACUUUGUUAAAGCUGUAUUUCAAUUCCAGAUGUGAUGGAAUGAGGCAAGUACUGGGUUUUAGCCAGGUGCCAGCUACUACGUUUGGCCAACUGCUCAAGCGGAGUCAUUUAGUUCAUAUGGUGCCCCGCAAACAAUAUCAUCAGUAUCAUGAAAUAAACGGGAAAACUGAGGCUCAGACAGUUUACAUAAAAUAAUCUCGCGAGACUUCGAGAAGGGACCAGUGCACCUGCAUGCUGCCAUUACAGGCAUAAGCCAAGAAAUCAGCUGAUGACCUCAAAUUCAUCUUUGCACCGGCCUCCUGAUGGUGAACUUCUUAAGAUCGAAAAUGAAUCUACAUUUUCUCCUGGGCUGAGUCUCCUGGUUUCAAAAGGAAACCAAUCUCAGCUUUCUUGACUUUGGAAUCAGGCUAAACCUGGAGGGUGAUUCUCCCUUUGUUGUGGAAGAACUCUGACCCUUCUUUGUGUUGUUCAGCUCUCCUGAGAGGACUUGGCCUAUGGUUGCUCCAUCCCACAUUGGUUUUCCUCCAGGGGAAGGAAGAAAAAUAUCUCCCCACUCCAUUUUUUACUCCUUUUCAGUCCCAUCCUGGAUGGCCCCAUCCCAGGCGCAGAUGCAUGUACUUAGAAACAUGAAUUCUAGGUUUUUCUAUUCCCAUUUUGGGAAGAUAUUUUAGUAGAAAUUUAAGUCCAGUUCCUACUUAGUGCAGGAAUCACCUCCAGAGUCAGGGAGAUCACUAUGUGGUCAAGUAUCCUUUCCCUUUGCUGGACAUUUUGAAUUCAGUAAUAUCUCAUCACCCUCUAACACUGUAAUGCUGCACAAUAACGUUAUAAGAUGAUUAGCUCAGAACAGAGACUAUAAAUUAUUUGAGGACAGGAAUUAUAUCUGGUUUGUCCACCCCCUGAUUUUUGAGCUUUGACCCACUACCUAGCACAUGUAGUUUCUCUUCACAUAUUUGUUGAGUGAAUAAAUUCAUUGGCUUCCUCUUGUUGGACUUGGGUUGAAGGAAAGAUUAAGAAUGAACUGAUCCUAAGAACUGAUCCUAAGAACUGAUCCUAAAUCUUGAAUUCUGUUGUUGGACAGUUUUAGGGACUUCCAAGGAAAAUAUAUGACAGGUAUCACAUGACAAACUCUUAUUUUUUUUCCAAAUUCUAGUGACAAAGAAACAGAUCAAGAGACUUACCUUGUGUCCUAUUCUCAAACCUAAAUCUGAAUCACACAGCUUCCCAUUCCAAAGGGGAGGAAAGGCCUGCCCAUAACUUGCCAAACGUCACCAAGAAGGAAUUUCCCCUGAACAGGCUUACAUCUCUAUAAACAAGACCAGUCAGUGCUCUUGGCCUUGACCAUUCCAUAGUAACAAGCCUUCUUAAUUUGUUAUUUAAAGCUCUCCAUGGUCAAACUAUUUCAAAGACUCUCAUCAAACUAACACAGAAUUCAAAACCAACCUCCGAUACACCCUCAAAUGAGUCCUCCCACAUCCAGCUGGACUGGUCUACUCAGUAUGUGCCAAGCACCCCAACACAUUCUUCUCUCCUAAUCUUGGCUACUAAGUCCCCCCCCCCCCACCGUCGUUGUUUCUUCGACCAGCCCAGUGUUCCUCCGCUCCCUGAAUUCAGCCUUGACUUUUCCUCCUCAGAUGUAGAGGAAGACACCAAGGAAAAAUCACCUGUACUCUCUCUAACCCAAACCUCCCCUGCCAAUCAGUGCCCAGGAUAGGGGUGCCCUGAGUUCAGUGAGAAGAAGGAUCUGGAUUCUACACUUUCUAAUUAUAAAAAUUGGGCCCACUCACUUUACCUUCCCAAAUUCCAUUGUCCUCCUCUAGAAAAUGGGGAUAAUUUCUACUUCACAAAGUUGUAUGUAUUAAGUAAUACUUAGUGUUCACCCAAUAGGCCUUUACCAAGGGCUUUCUAGAAGUCUGAUGCACAGUGACUGAUAUAAAGUAGGUGAUUACUAAAUACUACUGGCUAUUAUAUUAAAUAUUUAUCAAGUAGUUUUGUAGGACUUGUCUAGUUAGGGAAAAUAAUUAUUAGGUUGAACAUAGAAUCUGCUUCCAGAGCCUUCUUUUCUCCUUGUCUUUGUUUGACUCAGUACUGGACACAAAAGAAAAGAAAUAGAAGCAGAUUGAUGACUUAACAGUUUAUGUUCAAUAUCCCAUAUGUUAUCCACAUUGUGUGUCCAACCAUUUGGAAUCCUAUUGGAUGCACGACUGAAACAUCUGGAAUCAAAAUAGUAGGUGUGAGUACGAAUGUUUUCCUUUUUUUUUUUUUUUUUUUUUUUUUGCAUUGGUCAAGUAACAUUUUUCAGGUGACAUUUCAUUAAACCAGCCUGAAAGUCUAUCUAAGAGAACAGACUUGUGACAGACAUGGUAAUUAGCUUGAAAUAUGUGAAAGCCUCUCAUAAAACAUGAAUUAGACCUUGUCUGUGUGUCCUUAGGGGAGAAUCACCACUGGCAGGUGGACGUCCCUUCAGAAUGAUGUGUAUGUGUCUUUGGUUGGGAGUGGGAACCACUGACUUGACAGGCUGGGACACAAACUGUCAUGAUUCCAGCAGGGAUCAAGACUGAGAGAAAGAGAAGUAAAACACUUUCCAUUUAAUAAUGGAGCUUCCAUUGACUCCACUUCUAAGUGAGCAAUUGAUUCCAUUUUUAAUUGAGUAAAACCCAUUUUACCUGAAUCACUCCCAGGAACUUCACAGACAUACUUAACACGUGCCUGCACACACACACGCACACUCGCACACAAAACUGAUGUUUGUCCUUGGGAGCGAAUCCUAUUUUAAUAGGUCCUAUUAAGAGGAACCGUCAGCUACAGCAUUCACAAGAGAAUAGAGAAAAGGAACCCUCAAAAGGCAGCUCCACGUUCUGCUUCCCCUAGGGACCCAGCACCCAUCCUGUGCCCGCCUGUCUAUGAAAUUUGAUUGAUGACCACCAUUAUGAGGGUUUGGAUUGCUAAGACCACAUCAUUAAAGCUUAAGUCAUUUUAUAUCAGGAAAGGGGGGGAAAAUCUUCCUCCACGAAGAGGAAAGUUUUCCUAGAAGGAGGUGGGGUUCGAGUCGAGAUUUGGAUGGAGACCCUUGGACAAUGAGACCCCUGAUAUGACAGAGGAGGAAAUAGUCGAAUCUGAAGAUGCAGGUCCCAGGCUGAAAACUUAAAAGUGGCCACAGAGGCUCUUCACAUGUCUUUAAGUGUCUUCAUCUUUGAGAUUUAAGGCAACGUUCACCUAUGCUACAAUUAUACUUUCCUCCUCUCUAUAUAUAAUUCUCUUCCAAAAUCAACAAAAAUCUUUAGAAAAGAGGGUUGUCACUAUAGACCCAGAAAUACUGGUCUCGAGCAAAUGAAGAAACAGUGGUGAGAGAGGAGGGGGCGCCCUCGUGCCCAUCUGUACCUUCUGCUGUCUCUAUGUCCCUUCUCUACAAUCAGUCUGACAGGGUGUUGCUAGACAAAAGAACCAUCAAGAGAGGCAAAUAAUUUCCCAACCUGAAUUGGGCUGGCUUUGUGAUUUGCUUUGACCAAUAGAAAUGUGGCAGAAACAAUGUGCUCUUUUCAAUAGCCUUAAGAGACCCUACUCCCUUUUCACCCCCUUAGAAAACUGCCUCAGAGACCACCAGGGGAGGAAUGUCAGUUUAGCACAAUGAAGAAAGGGCAGGCAUGUGAAGGAAGGCCAAAGAAUCCCAGGCAACUGUCAGCACUCACUGCAGAACAUGAGAGUGAGGUCAUCUUGCCCUUUCCUCCCCAGCCCAGCUUUCCAUCUGAAUGCACCACGUCGAGGCCCAGGAGAAACCAGCAGAGGAACGUCCCUACCAACAUUCAGAAUCAUAACAAAUGACGAUUUGUUCUUGUUUUAAGCCACUACGUUUCAGGGAGACUUACUAAGCAUCAGCCCUAUUGGAACAUGAGCCCCAGAUGAUGCCCAGGGGAAUGGAAGACCAACCAUAGAAAAGCCAGAGGCACUAAGAGAACUCCCAGUGCCAAGCAGCACUCCAGAGGGGGCAUAGCCAUGAGCAAAGAGAGGAAGGAACCUGCAUGAAUUAGAGAAUGCUGCUCUCUGGAAGGAGAAAGAAAUCGACUGAGCAGACACCUAAGGCACUAAUGAAAGAAGGAACGUUCUAGCAGAAUUGUUUAAGAAUGGAAUGGACUGCUUUAUUAGGUGCUGAGUUCUCUAGCAUCAGGUGUAUUCAAGAAUAGGCAAGAGGGGUGAUUGAAGGGCAGGCUUAAGCACUAUGUCAUUGGCUCUCUGAGAUCACUUCCAACACCAGUCAUCCGUCAGGUUCUCUAAGUCCUAUUUGAGAAGAUGGCAGCAUAAGCAGAAUGAUGUCAAUAAAUCUGUCAUGUUAUCUUGAAAAGAGACUCUGGUUUAACAAAAGCAGCAGUAAAGUGUAUGUGAGCGAGACAGCUCCUCUGCGUGUGUGGUUUAUGGACAUUAAUCUGGCCAGGCUGGUCGGAACACACACACACACACACACACACGUACCCACAACAGCCACCAAAGGACUGUGAGAAUGGUUACUGGAAAAACAUUCAGCUCAAAAACGAGGCCCUUGGGCAGACAUUACAUCUUUUUUGAGUCUCUUUUUUGGUGGUCAGGCCCUGUUGUUGCCAUUAAGUGAAUUUGAAACACGAUCAUAAUAAUGACAACAGCAGUAAUAAUAACUGGAACAGGCACCCAGCUCCCCACUGGCCUCUUACUGCCUGCAACAGAUCUGCCGUUGAGAUGAGCUGUCUCUCUCCCCCCUUCAGAAAGCCUUCAUGAAAUGCCGAGCCAUGUGUUUGGUGCAAUAGCAAAGCGUCGCUUCCACCCAGAAGCAGGUGGACCCUCUUAAAAUCUCCUUAUAAGACAGGCUCCAGGCUUGAUGUGUGCUCAUCACACUGCCUUUCACGGACACUCUAAGGUGGAGAAUUAAACCUUGUAACAUGCUCGUCAAAGGCUGUGCUGAUUUUCUUUUUUUUUAAGGAAACGCAGCGAGGCUCCCAAGACUCAGUUUUCUCAUUUCUAACUCCAUCUCCCCACCCUCACUGGGUAAGGAGAGCUCAGAAGUAGAAAACACUUGGAAGAGAACAAUUUGAAAUUCCAUCAACAAACUCUUUAGGGUUUAACUGCGUGCAGGAGAACCGUAUUUCAAAGCAAAUAAAAAGGAGCCCGGCAAAAAUAUGUCCAAGGGAAGAAACAAAGGGUGACUAGUGAGAAACACGCACUUAACUGUUCUCAAAACAAUUAAACCUCAGGAAUAAAUAAAGGUAGGGUCUUCCCUUGAGAAAUAGAGCCUGUUCA
Molecule: long non-coding RNA, 7731 nt
Organism: Acinonyx jubatus (cheetah)
Lineage: Eukaryota; Metazoa; Chordata; Mammalia; Carnivora; Felidae
Exons: 5
Source: RefSeq, a predicted model, not a curated record